Molecule: ribosomal RNA, 519 nt
Filed under: uncultured bacterium
Lineage: Bacteria
Description: bacterial SSU rRNA
Rfam family: Bacterial small subunit ribosomal RNA
Source: RNAcentral
AGGACGAACGCUGGCGGCGUGCCUAAUACAUGCAAGUCGAACGGUCUUUCUAUGGAAGCUUGCUCCACUGAGAAGAUAGUGGCGAACGGGUGAGUAACACGUGGGUAACCUGCCCAUAAGAGGGGGGAUAACAUCCGGAAACGGGUGCUAAUACCGCAUAGUUUUCUUGAUCGCAUGAUCGGGAAAGGAAAGACGGCCUUUGUGCUGUCGCUUAUGGAUGGACCCGCGGCGUAUUAGUUAGUUGGUGAGGUAACGGCUCACCAAGACGAUGAUACGUAGCCGACCUGAGAGGGUGAUCGGCCACAUUGGGACUGAGACACGGCCCAAACUCCUACGGGAGGCAGCAGUAGGGAAUCUUCCGCAAUGGACGAAAGUCUGACGGAGCAACGCCGCGUGAGUGAAGAAAGGUUUUCGGAUCGUAAAACUCUGUUGUCAGAGAAGAACAAGUUGGAGAGUAACUGCUCCAGCCUUGACGGUAUCUGACCAGAAAGCCACGGCUAACUACGUGCCAGCCGCAGC